UAGGGAAUCUUCGGCAAUGGGGGGAACCCUGACCGAGCAACGCCGCGUGAGUGAAGAAGGUUUUCGGAUCGUAAAGCUCUGUUGUUAAGGAAGAACGAGUGUGAGAAUGGAAAGUUCAUGCUGUGACGGUACUUAACCAGAAAGGGACGGCUAACUACGUGCCAGCAGCCGCGGUAAUACGUAGGUCCCGAGCGUUGUCCGGAUUUAUUGGGCGUAAAGCGAGCGCAGGCGGUUAGAAAAGUCUGAAGUGAAAGGCAGUGGCUCAACCAUUGUAGGCUUUGGAAACUGUUUAAAUUGAGUGCAGAAGGGGAGAGUGGAAUUCCGUGUGUAGGGGUGAAAUGCGUAGAUAUAUGGAGGAACACCGGUGGCGAAAGCGGCUCUGUGGUCUGUAACUGACGCGGAGGCUCGAAAGCGUGGGGAGCGAACAGG
RNAcentral lists this ribosomal RNA (429 nucleotides) under Bacteroidota bacterium. Its description in RNAcentral is "Bacteroidetes bacterium partial 16S ribosomal RNA". It matches the Rfam family "Bacterial small subunit ribosomal RNA", at positions 355 to 776 of the family's 1533-position model. The record is from RNAcentral. Lineage: Bacteria; Pseudomonadati; Bacteroidota.